RNAcentral lists this ribosomal RNA (450 nucleotides) under uncultured bacterium. RNAcentral's name for it is "partial 16S ribosomal RNA". It matches the Rfam family "Bacterial small subunit ribosomal RNA", at positions 354 to 796 of the family's 1533-position model. The record is from RNAcentral.
GUCGAGAAUAAUUCACAAUGGGGGAAACCCUGAUGGUGCAACGCCGCGUGGAGGAUGAAGGUCUUCGGAUUGUAAACUCCUGUCAUCUGGGAGUAAGACCUGACGGUGAAUAGCCGGCAGGGUUGGUAGUACCAGAAGAGGAAGGGACGGCUAACUUCGUGCCAGCAGCCGCGGUAAUACGAAGGUCCCAAGCGUUGUUCGGAAUCACUGGGCGUAAAGGGAGCGUAGGCGGCGUGGUAAGUCAGAUGUGAAAUCCCGGGGCUCAACCUCGGAACUGCAUCCGAUACUGCCAUGCUUGAGGGCUGGAGAGGUAACUGGAAUUCUCGGUGUAGCAGUGAAAUGCGUGGAUAUCGAGAGGAACACUCGUGGCGAAGGCGAGUUACUGGACAGCAUCUGACGCUGAGGCACGAAGGCCAGGGGAGCGAAAGGGAUUAGAUACCCGUGUAGUCC